UAACACUUCGCUCUGAUGCAAGAUUAAUUAUUACUGACAAACUUCAUAUGGUAACUCACGCGCUUUGCGAACCGUAUCCCUGCGUAGUAAACUGUUAAACACAAAACCCUACACGUCGAACACUAGGCUACCUAAAUUAACCUAAGGCAUCCGCCCGCAACACCAAUGAACUAUAUUGUAAUUUAAGUUAGGAAACUAAGCCACAAGCACAGUAAAAUAUGGGUGACCCAAAAGUGGUGCCAGCAGCCGCGGUUAGACCACAACUCAAAAUUAAUCCACACAAAAAAGGAGCACCCUAAUCAUCCUAGACUCCAAUCUUAUUGGCAAAGGUGAAAUUUAAACCCAAACAAGUACACCUAGACAAGUCACCCAAACCCGUGCUCCAACAAACCACCCUACAAGACAUGGAUUAGAUACCCAUUUAUUGCGUGGCCCCACAUAAAAACUCUAAAAACGAAAGUUCCAAACUUAAAGAGCGUGGCGGUAUUCUACACCUUAUUAGGGGAUCCUGUGGCUUAAUUCGAUAACCCACGAACACUCAAGCUUUGUUAGCACCCAGCUUAUGUAUGGCCGUUUUAAGUCUGCAUACCAAUAGUAGAAAAGGAGACACACAAGCAAAAUCUUAAUAACACAGGUGACAUAUAGCCAACACAAAGCAGCCCAUGGGAUACAAAUGUAUACAAACAUCCGAUAAAGGUUGAAAACUCUUUACAAAGGAGGACUUAAAAGUAAGGUUAAAACAAUACUACAACCUGAACAAGAACUAGAAUGCGCACAAAUCGCCCGUCACUCCUGGUAAUUAAACUAGGACAAGUCGUAACACAGUAGAGGUAACGGAAGUUGCCCCUAUACAA
This 854-nucleotide non-coding RNA is filed under the name Microcondylaea bonellii. The record is from RNAcentral. Lineage: Eukaryota; Metazoa; Mollusca; Bivalvia; Unionida; Unionidae.